GAUGAACGCUGGCGGCGUGCCUAAUACAUGCAAGUCGAGCGAACGGACGAGAAGCUUGCUUCUCUGAUGUUAGCGGCGAACGGGUGAGUAACACGUGGAUAACCUACCUAUAAGACUGGGAUAACUUCGGGAAACCGUAGCUAAUACCGGAUAAUAUUUUGAACCGCAUGGUUCAAAAGUGAAAGACGGUCUUGCUGUCACUUAUAGAUGGAUCCGCGCUGCAUUAGCUAGUUGGUAAGGUAACGGCUUACCAAGGCAACGAUGCAUAGCCGACCUGAGAGGGUGAUCGGCCACACUGGAACUGAGACACGGUCCAGACUCCUACGGGAGGCAGCAGUAGGGAAUCUUCCGCAAUGGGCGAAAGCCUGACGGAGCAACGCCGCGUGAGUGAUGAAGGUCUUCGGAUCGUAAAACUCUGUUAUUAGGGAAGAACAUAUGUGUAAGUAACUGUGCACAUCUUGACGGUACCUAAUCAGAAAGCCACGGCUAACUACGUG
This 497-nucleotide ribosomal RNA is filed under the name uncultured bacterium. RNAcentral describes it as "partial 16S ribosomal RNA". It matches the Rfam family "Bacterial small subunit ribosomal RNA", at positions 28 to 507 of the family's 1533-position model. The record is from RNAcentral.